GCGGUCGAAGAUCGUGGCCCCGCACACUGCUCAGUAACACGUAGUCAACCUACCCUUGGGACGGGGACAAUCUCGGGAAACUGAGGCUAAUACCCGAUAGGUGAGGGACGCUGGGAUGCCUCCUCGCCCAAAGCUCCGGCGCCCAAGGAUGGGACUGCGGUCUAUCAGGCUGUUGGUGGUGUAACGGACCACCAAACCUACGACGGGUACGGGCGAUGGGAGUCGAAGCCCGGAGAUGGGGACUGAGACAAGGCCCCAGGCCCUACGGGGCGCAGCAGGCGCGAAAACUCCGCAAUGCGCGCAAGCGUGACGGGGGGAUCCCAAGUGCCGUUGGUCUUUCGAUCGACGGUUUUUAGGAAGUCUAAGAAGCUUCCAGAAUAAGGGCUGGGCAAGACUGGUGCCAGCCGCCGCGGUAACACCAGCAGCCCAAGUGGUGGCCACGAUUAUUGGGCCUAAAGCGCUCGUAGCCGGAUCAGCAAGUCCCUUGUGAAAUCGGGCCGCCUAACGGUUCGGCGUGCAAGGGAUACUGUUGGUCUUGAGGCCGGGAGAGGUCGGAGGUACUCCUGGGGUAGCGGUGAAAUGCUCUAAUCCUAGGGGGACCACCAGUGGCGAAGGCGUCCGACCAGAACGGACCUGACGGUGAGGGGCGAAGGCUAGGGGAGCGAACGGGAUUAGAUACCCCGGUAGUCCUAGCUGUAAAGCAUGCGGGCCAGGUGUCUAGCGCUCCU
RNAcentral lists this ribosomal RNA (728 nucleotides) under uncultured archaeon. RNAcentral's name for it is "bacterial SSU rRNA". It matches the Rfam family "Archaeal small subunit ribosomal RNA", at positions 60 to 785 of the family's 1478-position model. The record is from RNAcentral.